GGAUACGGGUUGUGAGAGCAAUAACCCGGAGAUGAUAUCUGAGACACGAUAUCAGGCCCUACGGGGCGCAGCAGGCGCGAAAACUUCACAAUGCGCGAAAGCGCGAUGAGGGGAUCCCAAGUGCUUGCACGUAAGUGUAAGCUGUUUUUCUGUCUAAAAAGCAGAGAAAGUAAGGGCUGGGUAAGACGGGUGCCAGCCGCCGCGGUAAUACCUGCAGCUCAAGUGGUGGCCGCUAUUAUUGGGCCUAAAACGUCCGUAGCCGGCUGAGUAAAUGCCUGGGUAAAUCGUGCCGCUUAACGGUACGAAUUCCGGGUAGACUGCUUAGCUUGGGACCGGAAGAAGUUAGAGGUACUCCUGGGGUAGGGGUGAAAUCCUGUAAUCCUGGGGGGACCACCAGUGGCGAAGGCGUCUAACUAGGACGGGUCUGACGGUGAGGGACGAAGCCCUGGGGCGCAAACCGGAUUAGAUACCCGGGUAGUCCAGGGUGUAAACGCUGCUUGCUUGAUGUUAGCUGGGCUCCGAGCUCGGCUAGUGUCGGAGAGAAGUUGUUAAGCAAGCUGCCUGGGAAGUACGGUCGCAAGACUGAAACU
Molecule: ribosomal RNA, 590 nt
Filed under: uncultured archaeon
Lineage: Archaea
Description: bacterial SSU rRNA
Rfam family: Archaeal small subunit ribosomal RNA
Source: RNAcentral